This 1892-nucleotide long non-coding RNA is filed under the name Nicotiana benthamiana. Its description in RNAcentral is "long non-coding RNA (NBEN_LNC031459)". Lineage: Eukaryota; Viridiplantae; Streptophyta; Magnoliopsida; Solanales; Solanaceae. The record is from RNAcentral.
AAGGUAUAGCUGUAUACGUGAUCUUUUCAUUUUCUGCCCUUUCUAUCUCUUUCUUAUCUAGGAGUAAGCUAUGCUUUUAUUUUGAGAAUCUACUCUAGUUUUAAAGUUCUUUGAUACACACUUCAACUUUGAAUCAUAUACCUCUAGUUUCUGUACUGUUUUCCUGAAGCCAAUCAUGAAUAAAUGGACAGUUUGUUUGAAAUGCUGACAGGAAGGACAUCCUUUAGUUCUCGACAAUUAUCCUUAACUGUUUACAGUGUGGACAUGGAUGGUUUUCCUGAUUGGACCUAAUAGACUGACCUUUGGACAUUUAUGACUCAGAAUGUCAUUCAGGUCCAUAAUUGAAAGAUUUUUUUUGGGGACUGCUAAUAAGGUCGAGGUAAGAUUGGGUUGUGGAAAUUCUGGUAUCCUGCUGUUUAAGUUGAGAGGAUUUUUAUUGUUAUUGAAAGCUCAGCUCUAAAAUAAAUUUUGUGUUAUGAGUCUUGAGUAGUAGAUAUUUGUAGAAUGUGGUCUAAUUUGCAUUGUUGUUGUAUUAAUUGUGUAUCUACUGUUUAAUGUAGCUAGAUAGUUUAAAGCUUUUAUGCUUUACAAGUUUAUAUUAUUCACUUGUCUAUGCAUCUAAUUCAACGUAAAGGCAGUAACAUUCCUCCUGGAGUGAAGAGUUUUAGUGAAUCAACACCCUAAAAGGUGAAGAUAUAAUAUUAAGCACUGCUUACCUGAGCUCUUUCUCUUUUGUUUUUGUUUUUGUUUUGUUUUUCCUUUCCUUCACUGAUUACCUGAGCUCUUUAGCUAUGCCUAAUGAUCUGGGUUUCGUUACGCUCUUCUUCUUGCCUUUUUAUUUCUCAUAAUAGGGGGGAUGGCUAUUGGAUUGAUGGAAUUGAAUCUGUCUAUGUUGCAAGGGAUUGCAAAUUGCUAUUAGUACAUGUUAUAAGGCAAUAUAAUGCAAAGAAUGCAGUUGGAUCAAGAAGCAAAAUCAACAUACAGCAAAGAGUGCUGCAUGUAAUAAGUUCUGCUUUUUAAUUGGUUCUGCUGUUGCUAAACUAGUUAUGACUGAUAAAGAAAGAGAGAAGGCAACCUUGACAUCCUUAUUAAAAAAAGGCAACCUUGACAUCUUUAUCUAUGUUCAGUUAUUCUGCCUUGCUGCUGGUCUUAGCUGUCAUUUAUUACAUCCACAGAUGUGAUAACUGCAAGGAUAAAUGUGAUGACGUGUAUUUUGCUAAAACAAUUUUCAUACCCAGCCUUGCAAAGUUAAUAGGCAGGCAUAAUUAUGAAUGUACACGGUAAUAAGAAACAUUUGACAAGAUUUUGCUUCGGUCCUUCUGUAGAGUAAAAUGAGGAUAGUACAUAGCUAUUUGCUUCCAACCUCUUGUGGAUUUUUCAGGCUUCUUUUUGUAUCUGUUUCUGACUAUUUAAGCUGACAAGUUGACAAUUUGGGUCAUCUACUUGAGAAGUGGAAACUUUUCCUUUCACAAUUCUACUUUUGCCGUAAGGCUUCAUGUAAUUUGGUGAUUAGCUUUGUAACUGCCACAGGUUAUUUGACAUUCUUCUCCACAGGCUUAUUUGAAGGAAGUUACUCCUAUAUUUCAACUUAUUAAUUUUGAUGAUCAAUUGGGUGCCUCGUUUAUCUACUGUUCACCAGUUUUGAUUCUCAUUUGUUUGGACAGAAUUCAGGUAGAGGUAUGCUAUAAAGCAAUAACAUGUAUAUUUAGUACAUAUGUCUACAUGGAGGUCAGUCUGUUGUUCCUUUAGUUAUAGAUUACGGAGGAAAAAGGGCAAUAAUUUGCAGUCACUUUUUCCUUUAUUUUAUGAAAUCUGGGGAACAUGAAAGGAGUCUUUGCUCUCUCCUUCAGUGUUUAUCCCAUGUCUAAUUUUUGUUCUUUAUUCUCAGGCGU